AAGUGCUUGUUUUUGCCACCUAACAGGCUCAGAUUGUUAAGUGUCUGACAACAUUAUGGAAAUGAUUCCUAAAGAGGUAGAGCUUUUUACUCAAGAGUAAGAUCCUUCUUGUUUAACCAGAAACUGACCUUUUAUCAAUACCAGACUCCAUUGACAAAAGCAGUAAUUUUACCAAGCAGAACACAGGAGUUGCUGCAAUACCGCUGCCUCAGUUUGUUGUUUGUCUGUGUUGUUGUGUGACUUUGAGUGGUGUAAGGAGUACUCAGAUUCUUUACUUUAGUAAAAUUACCAAACAACAAUACAAACAAACAAACAGAUGGAGGCAGCAGCUCCUGUGUUCUACUCGGUAAAAUUCCUGUUUUUGUCAAUGGAGUCUGGUAUUGACAUAUAACAAUGUUUCUGCUUAAACAAAAAGUAUGUUACUCUUUAAUAAAAAGCUCAAUCUCUGUACUGAAUUUACUGCAAAGAUCAGUGUGUGAUCACUUCCUUUUUGUGUUUUUGCAUGUGAGAAUUUCCAAAGUGAACAUGCUGAUGAGAAAAUGUGUGAUAAAAAACAACAAAGAACCUACUGUACAAAACAUAUGGUAGUCUAAUGUUGUCUCGUUAACACUCUGACUUUGAUUCAUCUUCCAUUUAAGCAGCACAACACAGUUAAUCAGUUACAAUGAUGGACGCAGCAUCGCUGGAGAACAAACGUCCGUCCACUGGAGACUAAGAGCUGUGCUGAUCGUCCCUCCUUGACUCCACGGCAACACUCACUCACUGACUCUGACCUCAGAUCAGAGGACAAUGGCUGGGUGAGAGUUACUGCUACUGCUGCUUGAGAGCUCAGUGAGUGUGUAUGUGUGUGUUCGCCCCAUUUCUCACGGCCCUUAAGAAGAAAAGAGGCCUUGUCUUGUUCCAUUAGUGACCUGAGCAGCAGCAGCACUGUUCAGCCCGGCUGACUGGAGGACAGUGCUGGUUAGACAGCACUACAUCCAGGAGUGAGGGAGGGUUAACAGAGACAGGAAGGAGACAAGGUGCAGAUAAAAAGGGAAGGGAAUAAGGCAGCAUGCAUGUACAACAGGGGGAUGACAUAUUUUUGUAGUCCAACCAGGAAGUUAGCAUCACCCUGGUUCCCUCCACAAAAAGCCAAUGAGAUUGUUUCAUUGGGUUUUGGAUUAUUCCAGAAAAUAUCAGAUAAAAACAUCAGAUAAUCUUCACAGAUGAACACCACUGUUCUGAUGUUUGAAGCCUGAAUCCAAUCUCCAGAAGUAAAAAGCUAAUGUUCGGCUAUAAACCAACUACACCACGGUCACAUGACGUCAAUGUCUCCACCACUAAGCUUCCAACUGGUCAUUUCAUUUAGCUCUGAGCUCUUCUACAAAAGCCUUUCUUCUUAGAAAGUUAGUGAGAGUUUGAAAGAGCGUGAGUAGAAACACAACAAAUCUGUUCGUCCUGAGUCCUGUGUGAUUUGUGGGUGCAACACAACCUUAUUGCUACAAGCGUUUCUUGUUCUUUCCAGACUUUAUCAAUGUUGCGUCUGUAGAAUUAGCUCUUACAGUUAACCUCGAUUAUCAGGGAGGUAAGUCAAUGUCGGAUGCAUCAUGUCUACAAGAGAGAGAGAGGAUGAGGUCCACAAUCAACAAAGACACACAUCACUGAGAUGUUACACGAGUGACAAGGUAAAUUAAUUAAUAACUGAAUUAAUAAGUGCAGCCCUUAACCAGUGUGUUAGAUUAUAGUUGGAUAAGGCAGAUUUGAUUCUGACAGCAAAUAAUGUCUGUAAAUUAGUUGACACAGUAAGUAGCAGUGGUAGCUGUUGAUGUAACGUGUUGUAUUAAAAAAAUUAAUUGUUGUUACAACUCCACAUUUCAAUCAGUCUCUCUUCAAUGUUUUCAAUUAUUCCUCCAGGGUCCAGCGGCAGGCAGGACUUGAACCUGACUCCUCCCAACUAAAGAGCUCGACCUCGCGGCCGCGAACCAACCCAUCGGACCACCAGAGCCCUUCACACUCAGCUUCUCUCUCAGCUCUUCACCCAUCAACUUCCGCUGAUUCAACCAAUCACGAGCGGAGCUAGGCGGGCCACAGUCGGUCGACCAAUCAGCGCCUUGUCUGACGACGUUGGCUAGCGUCUGUCGUCAUUCGACGAGACCUGAGCGGAGGAGAGCAGAGCGGCGGACAAACAAACACGGAAAAAACGAGUAAAAAUACGGAGUAAAAUCAACGUUUGAGUCGCCGCUUCGUCGCCUCAGUUUGUUAACACACGAAGACUCUUCAUCACCGAGGAAAUCUGGAUAUUAAAACGAGCUUUGGAGCUGUUUUUGUCGAACACGAGUGAGGCUGGACGCUGAGCACACGUGCGGCGCUAAGGUUUUUCCAGGCCUUUCCAGGUCUCCAGUCUCCCUCUCCAGCUGCUGCAGCCUGGACAGAAACACCAGCUCUCACACACCACAGAGGUGUCACCACUUCAUCCAGAGUGCAGAGACCAGGACCAGGAUCCACCACGGAGACCUUCAGGUGAAUUCACAGAAACGUCUGGAUCCACUGAAGGUGAAGGAGGAGGAGGAAGCAGCUGAUGAAAGAAAACCACAGAGUGAUGAAGCUGUUGAUCACAGACAGACUGACAGACCUGCUGCUUCUAACAACAAGACACUGAACUCAACUGGAGACACUUUGUUUUAUUGUCCCACCAACAUGUGAUGGAGCUGUGAGCUUAUUUCACACUAACACGUCUCCAUCAAACAUCUUUAACAACACAAAACUGUUUAUGAUCAAUGAUUGUAUCAUGAACAGUUAAAUGUCGUUAACGUGUUCGUCUGUAAAAUGACCUCACGGCUCCGUCACAGUGGGAAUAAAAACAAAGUGUUUGCAGUU
Lates calcarifer (barramundi perch) is the source of this 2856-nucleotide long non-coding RNA. RefSeq lists it as uncharacterized. NCBI's taxonomy places the organism in Eukaryota, Metazoa, Chordata, Actinopteri, Centropomidae. The record is from RefSeq and is a predicted model, not a curated record. The transcript has 5 exons.